UUCACUGGCAAUGGGCAAAGAGACACUUUGUUGGUGGUGGUGUUCUUAUAUCAAUUGGGGCAGAGCAGAUGGCAGUCCUUUGUUCAUCCUAGCUAGAUGCCUGGCCUGAUGGCCAAAGUGACUUUAUGCCUAGGACUCAAAA
Small nucleolar RNA from Grammomys surdaster, 142 nucleotides. RefSeq annotates it as small nucleolar RNA SNORA48. The record is from RefSeq and is a predicted model, not a curated record. The transcript has a single exon. Lineage: Eukaryota; Metazoa; Chordata; Mammalia; Rodentia; Muridae.